RNAcentral lists this non-coding RNA (107 nucleotides) under Gloeobacter kilaueensis JS1. Its description in RNAcentral is "TPP riboswitch aptamer (THI element)". It matches the Rfam family "TPP riboswitch aptamer (THI element)". Rfam says of the family: Vitamin B(1) in its active form thiamin pyrophosphate (TPP) is an essential coenzyme that is synthesised by coupling of pyrimidine and thiazole moieties in bacteria. The previously detected thiamin-regulatory element, thi box was extended, resulting in a new, highly conserved RNA secondary structure, the THI element, which is widely distributed in eubacteria and also occurs in some archaea. Lineage: Bacteria; Bacillati; Cyanobacteriota; Cyanophyceae; Gloeobacterales; Gloeobacteraceae. RNAcentral also lists the same sequence under 1 other name. The record is from Rfam by way of RNAcentral.
GAAGCAGGCUAGGGGUGCGGGCGAUCCUCACGAUCGCUUCGCUGAGAUCACACCCUUUGAACCUGAACCGGGUCAUACCGGCGCGAGGGAAGCUCAAGGAGUCACAC